Molecule: long non-coding RNA, 862 nt
Filed under: Marmota monax (woodchuck)
Lineage: Eukaryota; Metazoa; Chordata; Mammalia; Rodentia; Sciuridae
Source: RNAcentral
AAAAACCACACAAGCCACAUAAUGUAAAUACAACUAAGUGACCAUAAAAAUUGAAAAUAAAGAUUAAAAAAAUCUGCUAAUAAUAAUAAAAUUUUAGAAAGCAUGUAUAGCUGUAUUACUAUUUUACAAUAAGGCUGGGAAUGUAGUGCAGUGGUAGAGCACUUGUCUAGCAUGUUCAAGGCUAUUGAGUUGAAUCCCUAGCACAGCAUAAACUAAAAUUUAAAAAAUCUAGGGAAGCCAGGCUCAGUGGUGCAAGUCUAUAGUUCCAGCAGGAAGGCUGAGGUGGGAAGACCACUUAAAUCCAGAAGUUUGAGACCAAGUAGGCAACAUAAGGAGAACACUCUCAAAAACAAAACAACAGGGCUGGGGAUAUAGCUCAGUUGGUAGAGUGCUUGCCUUGUACAAGGCCCUGGGUUCAAUCCCUAGCACCAAAAAAAAAAAAAAACCUUUCAAAAACAAAACAACAAAUGAACAUAUUCCCUAGGAAAUGAAUGUAGGUUAAGAAGGGAAGACUGAACCCUGGGAUACUUUGAUAUUUAGAUGAGUGAGGGAGCAACCCUUGAUAAAAACAACCAGGAGAAAGUAGUAUCCCAGAAGCCUAGUGAAGAAAAUGUUUCAGAGAGGAAGUAAACUCAGCUGCUGUUGACAUCAAGAAAGAUGAAGACUGAUAUAUUUAGCAAAAUGAGAGGGCAUUAAUGACCUUAACAAGAGACACUGUGGGUAGGAGAAAAACCUUGGGAGUUCAAGAGAAAUUUGUGGGGCCAAAAAAAAAAAAAAAAUCCAAAACAAACAAACAAUUUGUAGGCACAGUGGUGCACACCUGCAGUUUCAGCAACUCAGGAGACUGAUUCCCAAGUUCAGA